AUGGCUGUCGUCAGCUCGUGUCGUGAGAUGUUGGGUUAAGUCCCGCAACGAGCGCAACCCUCAUCUCCAGUUACCAGCGGGUUAUGCCGGGGACUCUGGAGGGACUGCCGGUGCCAAACCGGAGGAAGGUGGGGACGACGUCAAGUCAUCAUGGCUCUUACGUCCAGGGCUACACACGUGCUACAAUGGCCGAGACAGAGGGUCGCGAACCCGCGAGGGGGAGCCAAUCCCCAAACUCGGCCUCAGUUCGGAUUGUAGUCUGCAACUCGACCACAUGAAGCUGGAAUCGCUAGUAAUCGUGGAUCAGCUACGCCACGGUGAAUACGUUCCCGGGCCUUGUACACACCGCCCGUCACGCCAUGGAAGCUGUGAGCGCCCGAAGUCGGUGCUGGAACCCGCAAGGGGCCAAGCCGCCUAAGGCGAGCGCAGUGACUGGGGCGAAGUCGUAACAAGGUAGCCGUAGGGGAACCUGCGGCUGGAUCACCUCCUUAACGGAGCAGCGAGUAGGCUGGCUCAACGCGCAAGCCGCGAGCCGGUACGAAAGCGCUACCGGAAAGUCGCUCGCUUCCACACCCGAUCUCACGUUCAAUUUUUUCUGGCCUGUGCUCACGCAGCAAGGGAGGCCGCUGCGCGCAUGGGCUUUGUUGGUCUCCGUGGCUCAGGAUUGUUCAAAGCCCGGAGACCUUCGAACAGGAGUUGUCUGGCGGGAGCUCCGCAAAAACACCGGAGCGACCGCGCACGACAUACGCUUUUUGACAAUGGAUAUGGGUAGUGUUCGUGGGAAACGAAUCAAUACUAGUGACACAAUUUCAUUGUAUCACUCGAGUAGAUCGCGCGUGCUCUGUUUGACGGUUUUGUAGUCAAGCGAGCGAAAGCAAGUGGAGGAUGCCUGGGCACACGAAGGCGAUGAAGGCCGCGGUAAGCUGCGAUAAGCUUGGGGGAGCGGCACACACGCGAUGAUCCCAAGAUGGCCGAAUGGGGAAACCCGG
This 989-nucleotide small RNA is filed under the name uncultured Gemmatimonadaceae bacterium. RNAcentral describes it as "bacterial SSU rRNA". The stretch from base 1 to 491 matches the Rfam family "Bacterial small subunit ribosomal RNA", at positions 1045 to 1533 of the family's 1533-position model. The record is from RNAcentral. Lineage: Bacteria; Pseudomonadati; Gemmatimonadota; Gemmatimonadia; Gemmatimonadales; Gemmatimonadaceae.